UACGUAGGGGGCAAGCGUUAUCCGGAUUUACUGGGUGUAAAGGGAGCGUAGACGGCGAUGCAAGUCUGAAGUGAAAGGCGGGGGCCCAACCCCCGGACUGCUUUGGAAACUGUAUGGCUGGAGUGCAGGAGAGGUAAGUGGAAUUCCUAGUGUAGCGGUGAAAUGCGUAGAUAUUAGGAGGAACACCAGUGGCGAAGGCGGCCUACUGGACUGUAACUGACGUUGAGGCUCGAAAGCGUGGGGAGCAAACAGG
Molecule: ribosomal RNA, 253 nt
Filed under: uncultured bacterium
Lineage: Bacteria
Description: partial 16S ribosomal RNA
Rfam family: Bacterial small subunit ribosomal RNA
Source: RNAcentral